This 1930-nucleotide long non-coding RNA is filed under the name Vigna radiata. RNAcentral's name for it is "long non-coding RNA (VRAD_LNC011374)". The record is from RNAcentral. Lineage: Eukaryota; Viridiplantae; Streptophyta; Magnoliopsida; Fabales; Fabaceae.
AAACCCUAAAAAGGAGAAAAGGAGAGUUGUCACCAUCUCCAAAUCUACCCCAAAGUGGGUGAAAAGUGUGUUUCCGUGCCUAAGCCAUCAAAAGAUACAAACCCUAAGACGUUCUGGCCUUUAAAUAGGGCAUAAAAAUGACAUAAAACAAGUCCAAGCCCAAACAGAUCAUAAAAAAUUACAUAAAACAGGUCCAGGCCCAUCUGACAACCGCCUGGCGCCUAAUUUCACCGCCGGGCGGUUUCCCAAAAGCCUCAAAACCGCCCGGCGCCACGGUCAACCACCUGGCACUGGUCAACUGUACUCUGGUCAACUUUUCAACAUUCUGGUCAACUGGUUGACUUUUCUGGUUGACCGGUUGACUGGUUGACUUUUCUGCAUUUUGUUUAACUUUUCUGCACUCCAACCAUUUGAUAAUUCAACCAUUCUUUCAAAUCAUUCCAGAAACCUUUAUCAUUGCCGUCGGGCAGUGCGUCGACUCUUCAAAUCUUCAUUUUUCCGCUCUUUUCUUGAGUCAACGACCUAUAUCUUUAACUUCAUUCUUUACUUUUCUCAAAUUAGCUACAAAACAAUGCAAAACAAGCAUAAAAUCGNUAAAAACAGCUUUUGNCUCUCUUCAGACUCAUUUAUUGAGUUUUNCUUGAUUCUAAGCUCAUUCCGAGUAGUAAAGGGUGNAAUUUGGUCCAAANUNACAUAUGAAAAUAACUAUUUUNCAACCUUCAUCAANACCCCAAACUUAGAAUUUUGNUNGUCCUCAAGCAAAACAAAACAAAAUAACACACAAAACAAAACUUGGCUUUAUACUGUUUCAUCCAAUGCCUCAACAAUCCCAAGGUACAUGANAAAACCACUNAAUUCAAUAUCCUCAGUGAAAUCCAAAAUAAGAUGNNUGCAUGCUUUCAAUCCAGAGAUUGCACAAUAGAUGUUCUACACUAUGAAUGAUCNAUCCANUAAGCAAAAAUGUACUCAUGAAAGUUAACAAAUCNUACCAAGCAAGUGUUUCACUCAAUCCCUCAAGUGUUUAAGGUGACACUCCAUUCUNUAUUGUUCACAAGNUACAUGAAACAAAAUUGNCAGUCAUCUUAAACAAUCAACAUCUUUACAUGCAAAUGUCAUNNAAAGGANUUUUCACGNCUUGUAAUNAGGUUGGGCUAACAAGAAAAAUUNNUUUUUCUAGAAUGCAAAAUCCUUGAGUCAAGAGAGCUANCAAAAUUUUCAACAUUUAAGCACAACUNUCUCACCAAUGUCUCUUAUUCCCCGCUUCUUCCCUUUUCUUUUCUUUUUCAUUGANCUCAUCUUCAUGCUUUUNUUCUUUUCUUUUCUUUUUCUCAUGANUUUUUCUCUUUUCACAACAAUUGAGCUCAAUGNCUUUUACUUGCUUUUUCAAUUUUCCCCCGUACAACCCCAAACUUGAACCUUUUCAUCACAUACAAUUAAGCUCAUCCCAACUCAAGGUNAAAANUUUCAAAACAAGGGUUCACAUACUGUUUAAGGNUAAGGUUCCAAAAGGGUAAAAUAUUUUCAAGAACUUUGGGUGAAAAUUUGGCUAGAGAAGGGUUUNCAAAAAUGGCCUUGAUCAUANGACAUUCACAUGCAAUUCAAUCGAUCAUCAAGAUUAAGGCAAUAUCAUCCAUAUNUUCCUGUGAACAAUGCAUACAACAAUAAAAACUCUAGAGCUCAAANUCUCACNCACAUGNUUCCUCACACAAAAUUCAUUCUUACACCCUNCCUAGCAUCAUGACCACAAUCAUAAAUUCAUCACACAUCUAUUUCCUGGAUAUCAUCAUGCAUUACAACUCACUUCUCUUCCACAUCAAAUAAUNAUCAAAUAGAUCCAUCAUGCAAAUUAGUUAGCCACACAUUUUCAGAACAAGUAAUAAAGCCAAGAAUACACACCAAAAUUAAAAUUCAACCUAUUCUAGGAAUUUAA